ACGCACGCUGGCGGCGUGCUUCACACAUGCAGGUCGCACGGAAAGGCCCUGCUUUUGUGGGGUGCUCGAGUGGCGAACGGGUGAGUAACACGUGAGUAACCUGCCCUUGACUUUGGGAUAACUUCAGGAAACUGGGGCUAAUACCGGAUAGGAGCUCCUGCUGCAUGGUGGGGGUUGGAAAGUUUCGGCGGUUGGGGAUGGACUCGCGGCUUAUCAGCUUGUUGGUGGGGUAGUGGCUUACCAAGGCUUUGACGGGUAGCCGGCCUGAGAGGGUGACCGGCCACAUUGGGACUGAGAUACGGCCCAGACUCCUACGGGAGGCAGCAGUGGGGAAUAUUGCACAAUGGGCGGAAGCCUGAUGCAGCAACGCCGCGUGCGGGAUGACGGCCUUCGGGUUGUAAACCGCUUUCGCCUGUGACGAAGCGUGAGUGACGGUAAUGGGUAAAGAAGCACCGGCUAACUACGUG
RNAcentral lists this ribosomal RNA (467 nucleotides) under uncultured bacterium. Its description in RNAcentral is "partial 16S ribosomal RNA". It matches the Rfam family "Bacterial small subunit ribosomal RNA", at positions 29 to 507 of the family's 1533-position model. The record is from RNAcentral.